GAUGAACGCUGGCGGCGUGCCUAAUACAUGCAAGUCGAGCGAACAGACGAGGCUCUUGCUCCUCUGUCGUUAGCCGCGGACGUGUGAGUAACACGUGGAUAACCUCCUUAUAUGACUGGUAUCACUUCGGGAAACCGGCGCUAAUCCCGGAUAAUCUAUUGAACCGCAUUGUUCAAUAGUGAAAGACGGUUUUGCUGUCACUUAUCGAUGGAUCCGCGCCGCAUUAGCUAGUUGGUAAGGUAACGGCUUACCAAGGCAACGAUGCGUAGCCGACCUGAGAGGGUGGUAGGCGACACUGGAGCUGAGACACGGUCCAGACUCCUACGGGAGGCAGCAGUAGGGAAUCUGACGCAAUGGGCGAAAGCAUGACGGAGCAACGGGGCGUGAGUGAUGAAGGUCUUCGGAUCGUAAAAAUCGGUUAUGAGGGAAGAACAAAUGUGUAAGGAACUAAGCACGUAUUGACGGUAACUAGUCAGAAAGCCACGGCUAACUACGUG
Molecule: ribosomal RNA, 497 nt
Filed under: uncultured bacterium
Lineage: Bacteria
Description: partial 16S ribosomal RNA
Rfam family: Bacterial small subunit ribosomal RNA
Source: RNAcentral